This 482-nucleotide long non-coding RNA is filed under the name Mytilus galloprovincialis (Mediterranean mussel). Lineage: Eukaryota; Metazoa; Mollusca; Bivalvia; Mytilida; Mytilidae. The record is from RNAcentral.
CCAGAAUAGUAGUUGAAUCAACUUAAAUUAUUGUUUUAUACAAUAUACAAUGUAUAUUCACUUUUACUACCAACUGAUAAAUUAAAACAUCUUUACCAUUCAGUGAUAACAAGCACUUUAUUUUACAUUUUAAUAUUUUAUGAUGUAUUUAAAUGAGUAGUUAUUGUUGCAAACUCCAUUAGAAAUUUGAAUUGAGAUCAGUUUUGAAAAAAGGGAAAGGGGGAUGUGAAAAAAAAAAUGGUGGGGGGGGGGUUUAAAUUUUUCUCAUUUCAGAUUUCAUAAAUAAAAAGAAAAUUUCUUCAAACAUUUUUUUGAGAGGAUUAAUAUUCAACAGCAUAGUGAUUGCUCAAAGACAAAAAAAAUAUUUUAAGUUCAUUAGACCACAUUCAUUCUGUGUCCAAAACCUAUGCUGUGUCAACUAUUUUAAUCACAAUCCAAAUUUAGAGCUGAAUCCAGCUUGAAUGUUGUGUCCAUACUUGCCC